This 253-nucleotide ribosomal RNA is filed under the name uncultured bacterium. Its description in RNAcentral is "partial 16S ribosomal RNA". It matches the Rfam family "Bacterial small subunit ribosomal RNA", at positions 524 to 776 of the family's 1533-position model. The record is from RNAcentral.
GACGUAGGGUGCAAGCGUUGUUCGGAAUUAUUGGGCGUAAAGCGCGUGUAGGCGGCUUUAAAAGUCGGGUGUGAAAUCCCUCAGCUUAACUGAGGAAGUGCGCCCGAAACUCUAGAGCUUGAGUACCGGAGAGGGUGGCGGAAUUCCCCAAGUAGAGGUGAAAUUCGUAGAUAUGGGGAGGAACACCGGUGGCGAAGGCGGCCACCUGGACGGUCACUGACGCUGAGACGCGAAAGCAUGGGGAGCAAACAGG